UACGAAGGGGGCUAGCGUUGCUCGGAAUCACUGGGCGUAAAGCGCACGUAGGCGGAUCUUUAAGUCAGGGUGAAUCCUGGAGCUCAACUCCAGAACUGCCUUUGAUACUGGGGAUCUCGAGUCCGGGAGAGGUGAGUGGAACUCCGAGUGUAGAGGUGAAAUUCGUAGAUAUUCGGAAGAACACCAGUGGCGAAGGCGGCUCACUGGCCCGGUACUGACGCUGAGGUGCGAAAAGCGUGGGGAGCAAACAGG
Molecule: ribosomal RNA, 252 nt
Filed under: uncultured bacterium
Lineage: Bacteria
Description: partial 16S ribosomal RNA
Rfam family: Bacterial small subunit ribosomal RNA
Source: RNAcentral